AGUGAACGCUGGCGGUAGGCCUAACACAUGCAAGUCGAACGGCAGCACAGUAAGAGCUUGCUCUUACGGGUGGCGAGUGGCGGACGAGUGAGGAAUACAUCGGAAUCUACUUUUUCGUGGGGGAUAACGUAGGGAAACUUACGCUAAUACCGCAUACGACAUACGGGUGAAAGCAGGGGAUCUUCGGACCUUGCGCGAUUGAAUGAGCCGAUGUCGGAUUAGCUAGUUGGCGGGGUAAAGGCCCACCACGGCGACGAUCCGUAGCUGGUCUGAGAGGAUGGUCAGCCACACUGGAACUGAGACACGGUCCAGACUCCUACGGGAGGCAGCAGUGGGGAAUAUUGGACAAUGGGCGCAAGCCUGAUCCAGCCAUACCGCGUGGGUGAAGAAGGCCUUCGGGUUGUAAAGCCCUUUUGUUGGGAAAGAAAAGCAGCAGGUUAAUACCCCGCUGUUCUGACGGUACCCAAAGAAUAAGCACCGGCUAACUUCGUG
This 492-nucleotide ribosomal RNA is filed under the name uncultured bacterium. Its description in RNAcentral is "partial 16S ribosomal RNA". It matches the Rfam family "Bacterial small subunit ribosomal RNA", at positions 29 to 507 of the family's 1533-position model. The record is from RNAcentral.